CACAGGAUCAACUGAUUGCAUUUCCCUCUACCAAAAAAUUUCAGUUCCCCCUUUACUUUUUCAUCCAAAUUUUCGUUCCCCCCAUUUUUUCAACCUAAACUUUGUAAGUGAGAGAUUUAGUUGAAUCUCUCUUCUUGUACAUCUGUCUUUUUCUCUUUCUCUCGCUACUGUUAAUUUGGUAUAUACAUAUCCUUCCCUCUCUUCCCUCGUCUCUCCUUCUCCUCCCUUUCCGUCUCCUGUCCUCUCCAUCUGAUUAUCAACCGAGCUUACUCAGAUGUGUUGCCAUCUACGGUGACCCACCAGCUGUUUGAUGCCGAUGUUGACCAUUCUUUUAAGUUUAACAACAACCCACCUGAUGAUGAGGCUGAACGAAAAUCUCAUGGCGAACUUACUAUCUCACCAACACUAUAUAGAUGAUGUUUAGUGCAGAGGUUUGUUGAUCAGAGAGUUUAAUCCAUUGUCACAUGGUGAGACAGGAGAAAAUUCAUUGACUCAUAUUCUCUUUCAGGUUCAUGCUCGUUCUCUUUUGAACAUUUUUGCUUGUGGCAAAUAUGUUAACUACAUAUUUAAGCAACAUGCUUUAGUGCACAGAGUGCUGCUUGCUUUAGUGCACAGAGUGCUGCUGUCAUGCUACCAUCCGAACGAAGAAUCCUGCCAGCAAUCUGCCAAGUCACAGAUGAACUCUAGAUUCCAUUACUGCACCACCAAGGCAGCCAAUGAUGGACCUCACAACUAUAGAAACACAUAUUGACUCAUAUACAAGGCCAAGUUGAUUAAUUUUCGGUGACGUUGCAAUUAAGGAUAGAUUAAUUUAUGUUUUGUUUAUUAUAUAUCUUUAGGUUUUAGAUAUUUGGGAUUUGUCAUCCUCACGGGACAUAUUGGUGGAUAUUUGAUGAUAUAUUUGGUUGGUUGUAAUGGUGUUUAUUAGUUCGGAAUGAUAACUUUUGUUUACAAAUUUUUGAAUUGUUAAUUACAUUUUCUUGCCUAGCUUGUUAAUUUCUUAUUACAAAACUAUUGUCCAAACAAAUGAUUUACAAGAGUAAUGAAAUAGAAACAAUUGUCCAAAUAAUUAAAAGACAACAAAUUGGCAGGAAGAAAACCAUUGUAUGAAAUAACCAAACACAAAAGAAAAAGAAAAGAAAACCGUUGUGUGAAAGUCUACAAACA
Daucus carota subsp. sativus is the source of this 1167-nucleotide long non-coding RNA. RefSeq lists it as uncharacterized. The transcript has 3 exons. Lineage: Eukaryota; Viridiplantae; Streptophyta; Magnoliopsida; Apiales; Apiaceae. The record is from RefSeq and is a predicted model, not a curated record.